Molecule: long non-coding RNA, 455 nt
Organism: Bombina bombina (fire-bellied toad)
Lineage: Eukaryota; Metazoa; Chordata; Amphibia; Anura; Bombinatoridae
Exons: 3
Source: RefSeq, a predicted model, not a curated record
GGCUUCGGCUGGAUUUCAUCGCAGAUGCUAUUGGGCUAUGUAGUUCCUAUUCCUAGUGCUGCUGGGAUAUGUAGGCGUCAGGCAAACAGGGGGAUGCACUUGUAAAACCACAUACUGAGUCCUAUGUUGCGCAUAGGUAUAUCGCAGCCAAAAUCAGAUCACUAAUUUUCAACAAGUUACAGACAACUCUCUCUUGUGCAUUCAACACUCCCAUUAUAUAAUCAUUGAUGACAUCAUGUGGGUGGCACUACGGAAGCUGACCUUCCCAUUGGUUAUCUGGGAAGUCUAAAUCGGAUUGGCCCUUGGAAAUUUCAUUUUUAACAGCCAGAGAGAACCUUCUGGCUGUAGUUCUCGCAACAUAACACCAGGUGGCAGCACAAACAGACACAGCAACAUUUGAAACAGCUUAAGUCAGUAUUUCUAUGAAAUGGUUAUUAAUUUUUAUCAUAAUUUAC